UGGAUGGUGUGCAGGGUCAAA
This 21-nucleotide microRNA is filed under the name Physcomitrium patens. Its description in RNAcentral is "ppt-miR1221-5p". Lineage: Eukaryota; Viridiplantae; Streptophyta; Bryopsida; Funariales; Funariaceae. The record is from miRBase by way of RNAcentral.